GCCCUCUGAUGCCCCGGAAGUUAAGCAGGGUCGGGGAGGGUCACGGUGCGGAUGGGGACGGUGCGGAUGCUGGAGCACUGAGGACAGCCGGCAGCAGGGGCUCUGCUCGGGGGGCCCUGAUGCCCUGAAAGCUAAGCAGGGUCAGGGAGGUGAAGUCAGUGUCCUUCCGGGGCCGGAGACUACUAGGGCAGGACCUGCCGGUGCCCACCGGCUACGUGGGGCUGGUGCUGAAGGAGGAUGAGAAGCCCUGCUCGGAGGAUGAGGAGCGGCGGGUGCACGUCAAGUCAACCUUCACGGAGCUGACGGCCUGGACCCGGGAGCAGGCGCCCAGCGCCGACGACGCCCUGCAGGGGGCACUGGGCUGGCCCCACAUCGCCCAGGCCAUCCAUGCGCCGGUAGCAGAUGAGGAGGGGCCCUGAGAGGCCCCGGAGAAGAGGCACCAUUUAGGGCUGGGUUGGGUUUUUUUGGGGGGGGGGCAGGGGUCUUGGAGACCCCAGGUCUUUGCUGGUAAUACACAGAGCUCUGAGGCACCAGUGUGGUCCAUGUGGUG
Molecule: long non-coding RNA, 550 nt
Organism: Alligator sinensis (Chinese alligator)
Lineage: Eukaryota; Metazoa; Chordata; Crocodylia; Alligatoridae
Exons: 4
Source: RefSeq, a predicted model, not a curated record